RNAcentral lists this long non-coding RNA (821 nucleotides) under Homo sapiens (human). RNAcentral describes it as "non-protein coding lnc-TRIM26-2:21". Lineage: Eukaryota; Metazoa; Chordata; Mammalia; Primates; Hominidae. The record is from RNAcentral.
CAAGGAUUAGGUAAGUUCUCCCCGCGGUAGACUUCAAAUACUCUUUGUCCUGCCCCUGCUUGGCGAAAUUUACCGAAAUUAUCUACCUAUCCCGCUGGAGUGGGAGCCGGGGGAGAGCUGGAACCGCGUCUCUGCUGCUCACCUUUGUGUCCUUAGCUCCUUCGCAUGGGGUCCGACCGCAACACGUGCGCUGGAUAAACGCUUGUUAACUGGGUAAAAGUCUUGCAGUGAAAAACCCGAGGACCCUUACCGCAAGUGUCUUUUGCUCCCAGCUACUGAUACUGGAUUCCACUCGUGAUUCUCCCUUUCUUAGCGCAUUCAUGAUAUAGACAUCAGUCUCUGAGCUGGAGGAGGACAAAGGCAGCGGUCCUGUGAAUUCUAUGCUCUAGCUUGGGUUAAGGGAUUUGGAAUUGCACUUGUUUCAGAGAGCUCCCUCUUUGCCCACUAGCAGGGCAUUAGCUGGUGCUGAAGACAGUGGCUGCUUGGCGAGCCUGGAUCUCCAAGUGACCCCCUCAGCAACUCCUGAUGAACAGGACUGAAGCCAAUAUUAAAGCAAGUCAACCAAAGGUUCUCUGGUGUAGACAAGACAGCAAAAGGACAGACUACCUUGUGGAACCUAGCAUUGUUCUCCUUCUGCAGCACUAAGUAACAUUUGUUCUCCGUUAAGAUCUUUGCAAACCACACACAAGAAUUGCUGGUCAUCCUGCCAAUAGAUGCUGCUCACAGAACCAAAUUUCCUGUGCUGAAUUGUCACUCAUGGGCUUGAGAGUAGGAGACUGGAGACCAAGGUGGCUAGAAUCCAGUUGGGCCUGAUGUCUCCC